RNAcentral lists this ribosomal RNA (465 nucleotides) under uncultured bacterium. Its description in RNAcentral is "partial 16S ribosomal RNA". It matches the Rfam family "Bacterial small subunit ribosomal RNA", at positions 28 to 507 of the family's 1533-position model. The record is from RNAcentral.
GACGAACGCUGGCGGCGUGCUUAACACAUGCAAGUCGUACGGUAAGGCCCUUUCGGGGGUACACGAGUGGCGAACGGGUGAGUAACACGUGAGUAACCUGCCCACAACUUUGGGAUAACGCUAGGAAACUGGUGCUAAUACUGGAUAUGUGCUCCUGCUGCAUGGUGGGGGUUGGAAAGCUCCGGCGGUUGUGGAUGGACUCGCGGCCUAUCAGCUUGUUGGUGGGGUAGUGGCCUACCAAGGCGGCGACGGGUAGCCGGCCUGAGAGGGUGACCGGCCACAUUGGGACUGAGAUACGGCCCAGACUCCUACGGGAGGCAGCAGUGGGGAAUAUUGAACAAUGGGCGCAAGCCGGAUGCAGCAACGCCGCGGGCGGGAUGACGGCCUUCGGGUUGUAAACCGCUUUCAGCAGGGACGAAGCUUUUUGUGACGGUACCUGCAGAAGAAGCACCGGCUAACUACGUG